RNAcentral lists this ribosomal RNA (478 nucleotides) under uncultured bacterium. Its description in RNAcentral is "partial 16S ribosomal RNA". It matches the Rfam family "Bacterial small subunit ribosomal RNA", at positions 28 to 523 of the family's 1533-position model. The record is from RNAcentral.
GACGAACGCUGGCGGCGUGCUUAACACAUGCAAGUCGAACGGUAAGGCCCUUCGGGGUACACGAGUGGCGAACGGGUGAGUAACACGUGGGUGAUCUGCCCUGCACUUCGGGAUAAGCCUGGGAAACUGGGUCUAAUACCGGAUAGGACCACUGCCUGCAUGGGGGGUGGUGGAAAGCUUUUGCGGUGUGGGAUGGGCCCGCGGCCUAUCAGCUUGUUGGCGGGGGGAUGGCCUACCAAGGCGACGACGGGUAGCCGGCCUGGGAGGGUGACCGGCCACACUGGGACUGAGAUACGGCCCAGACUCCUACGGGAGGCAGCAGUGGGGAAUAUUGCACAAUGGGCGCAAGCCUGAUGCAGCGACGCCGCGUGAGGGAUGACGGCCUUCGGGUUGUAAACCUCUUUCAGCACCGACGAAGCGCAAGUGACGGUAGGUGCAGAAGAAGGACCGGCCAACUACGUGCCAGCCGCCGCCGUAA